RNAcentral lists this ribosomal RNA (484 nucleotides) under uncultured bacterium. RNAcentral describes it as "partial 16S ribosomal RNA". It matches the Rfam family "Bacterial small subunit ribosomal RNA", at positions 30 to 507 of the family's 1533-position model. The record is from RNAcentral.
AGUGAACGCUGGCGGCAGGCCUAACACAUGCAAGUCGAGCGGCAGCGGGUCCUUCGGGAUGCCGGCGAGCGGCGGACGGGUGAGGAAUACAUCGGAAUCUGCCCUGUCGUGGGGGAUAACCUAGGGAAACUUAGGCUAAUACCGCAUACGACCUACGGGUGAAAGCGGGGGAUCGCAAGACCUCGCGCGACAGGAUGAGCCGAUGUCCGAUUAGCUAGUUGGCGGGGUAAAGGCCCACCAAGGCGACGAUCGGUAGCUGGUCUGAGAGGAUGAUCAGCCACACUGGGACUGAGACACGGCCCAGACUCCUACGGGAGGCAGCAGUGGGGAAUAGUGGACAAUGGGCGCAAGCCUGAUCCAGCCAUGCCGCGUGGGUGAAGAAGGCCUUCGGGUUGUAAAGCCCUUUUGUCCGGGAAGAAAUCGUCUGGGCUAAUACCCCGGGCGGAUGACGGUACCGGAAGAAUAAGCACCGGCUAACUUCGUG